This 473-nucleotide ribosomal RNA is filed under the name uncultured bacterium. RNAcentral describes it as "bacterial SSU rRNA". It matches the Rfam family "Bacterial small subunit ribosomal RNA", at positions 355 to 825 of the family's 1533-position model. The record is from RNAcentral.
UGGGGAAUAUUGGGCAAUGGGCGCAAGCCUGACCCAGCGACGCCGCGUGGGUGAUGAAGGCCCUCGGGUCGUAAACCACUGUCAGGAGGAAAGAAAAGUCGGCCGGAUAAUACUCGGUCGACCUGACGGUACCUCCAAAGGAAGCACCGGCUAACUCCGUGCCAGCAGCCGCGGUAAUACGGAGGGUGCAAGCGUUGUUCGGAAUUACUGGGCGUAAAGCGCGUGUAGGUGGUCGAGUAAGUCGAAUGUGAAAGCCCCGGGCUCAACCCGGGAAGUGCAUCCGAAACUGCUCGACUAGAGUCCCGGAGAGGAAGGCAGAAUUCCCAAUGUAGGGGUGAAAUCCGUAGAUAUUGGGAGGAAUACCGGUGGCGAAGGCGGCCUUCUGGACGGUGACUGACACUCAGACGCGAAAGCGUGGGGAGCAAACAGGAUUAGAUACCCCAGUAGUCCCUGAGCGGGCUGGCAAGGCGCAU